AUUUAUUUUUAUCCAGAUAACGAUAUCGUUGCGCGUCUUUGGAUCUCCGUCCGGACGGUUAUUGUUCUAGGGAAUAACUAUCGCUCCAAUCGCAACAAUAACGAUAUUGUUGUCUACAGAAAACGCCGAGUCGACGAUAUUAUAAUACUUGGACGCCCAGUGCGCGAAACCGAGCGUACGGUCGGCAAAGCCAGGCGCGGUGCGCCGCGGUUAUAUUAUAGCCGUAGCGCGGAAAGUUACCGAUUUCGCGUACAUAAAUCACUUUAAACUCGAAGCUUAGCGCAGCGACUUACAGUCGAAAAGUUAGGUUCUGAGUUAACUGCCUAUGUAUUAAUAAUACGGUGACUGCAUUUUGGCUAUUAGUCGGACGGUAUCGCCGGUAGGCGGGCCGCUGUUUUUGGAGCGGCGAAAGGGUGGACGCUGUACGGCACGCGCGCGUGUCAAACCGUCGCUCGCGGAAAGCGAUUCUGAGCCGAGCGCCGUCAAUGUUACCGAUUGUACUGUCCGCUUUUCACCCGCGCCGGCAGUCUUUUUCUCUGUUGGCCGCGGCCAGAUACGGUGAGUAAACCCCUAUGUAUUAUUAUAAUAUCACGUAUCACGCGCGUGAGUAUUUUAUUUUUACAGUUUCUACAGGUAUACCGGUAUCGCUGUCUAUUUUAUUUUUCGUUAAUAUUAUAUCAUUUUCAGUGCAUUUUCAAGCGCGUAUAUAAAUGUCGUUAAACGUUUUCAACAACGUUUAUUGCGUUCAUAACAAUUUUUUUUUAAAGUCACAAGUCACGGGCCCCGGUCAUUAUAUUACCUACAUAAAAACUCAUCGUAUCAUUAUGGACGAUAAGUACCUAACAGCCAGAAGAGUCGGGAUUUAGCUUAUUAUCUACGGUUCUUAUGUAGCGUUACAUACGGGACAUUAUUAACGGGGCUGCUAGCAUGAAACGACUGUUUUUUUUUUAAAUAUUCGAUAAGAACGUUCGAUAACGUUCUGAAAACUCGUCGUUCGACCGCGGUAUAUCUACGUAUCCGGGAUACAAAUUUUAUUAUUAUUGAUGUCUGAAAAAAAAAACAAAAAAAAAUUACGUUUUUAAGCGGCGAGACACUACAGAAUGUACGCUACCGAACGCUGCGAGAUAGUCAACGACGAGAUACCGUGCGACCCCCGCGAAAAAUAAAUAAUACGUGAUUUUUA
This is a non-coding RNA of Cinara cedri, 1183 nucleotides long. The record is from the annotation of a GenBank genome assembly. NCBI's taxonomy places the organism in Eukaryota, Metazoa, Arthropoda, Insecta, Hemiptera, Aphididae.